AAAAAUAUCAUAACAAGGGUUCAUCUCAUCCUAAAAAUGUAUAAAACUAGCUUAACAUAUUGAAAUUACAAGAAAUCAUAUAUAAGUGGAAAGAUAUAACCCGAAUUUUUGAUAAAUUGAGAGGAUGAAGAUAAAUCUUGAAAUCUUAAAUCUCUUCAAUGGUUUCUUAAUAAAUCUCUACUCGUGCUCUCUCUUCUUUGUCCAAUAUCAAGUUUAAAUCUUCACUUUAUUGAAUUCUUGCAAUCCCCUUCAAUUCUCUCACAAAAACAAUGAAUUCUUCUCAUUUUAUGGUAAUAAUUGAUGAAUAUUGAAGUAUAUUAUGUAUAAGAGAUAUGUAUGAGAGCCCCUUUCAUGUAUUCUCCUCUUGGGUAUCUGUAGAAAAUUGGUGAAAAAUCACACCCAAAUUGGUUUCCAAAAAAGUUCCAAUCGAAUAAGAAAAGUUACACUCGUGGGCGGAUUUUUUGUCUCUGCACAGCAGUCAAUAUUUUGAUAAUAACUUUGUCUCUUAAUAUUCGAUUGAGUUGAUUUAAAAUGCGUUGAAAAGAUAACUAAAAGGGCUAUAACUUUCCUAGAGAUAGAUAUUUUUCAAUUUGAACGUUUACUAUAUCAAAAAUUGGUCGCAAUCCUUAACUAACAAUCUGGAAGAUAUAUCAUGUGAUUGGAAGUCGAUUUAUGAUAAUAUUUUGAUGAUAUUACAUUCCUUUUUUUUUUUUUUUUACUUCUAAUUGCAUCCAAUUGACUCCCAUCAAUUUUUAAAAUAUCUCUUAUUGUCCAAUUCAACCAUUGAAUAUUUGCGAUUUGGUCCUGAACUUUGUACUUCGCCAUUUUUCGCUUCUUUCUUUCAAUUUAACUUCCAAUCAUCGAGUUUUACCUAAUAAAUGAAAUACACUAUAACUUAGGCUACAAUUACUUUAAAGAACUAUUAAAAAUCUAUAAUUUUAGGUCUACAUAAGUGUAUAAAAUACAAUUAUCAAGCACCAGCACAUGCAACCAAAUCCCUGUGUUUGAAUCUUAGACGAGAACGGAAUUCGUCAGCAAACAACUCACAAUAAAUACUUUCACCGCCUGAAUGCAAACGGUAAUGGAAACAUGCAUUAGAAAUAUAAAAUUCAAUACUGCACAUUGUGUUUCAUUGCAUGAUACCAGAUGAGAAGCCUCUCAAAUACAAUUGACAGCACUACGGGAGAAAAAUGAACUCACCCUUUGGCCCAGGUAAAAAUCUUUAUCCUGUCCAAUUUUUAUUUUCACUUUUCAGUUUUAUUUUUAAAACCCUCAAAAAACGCACAACUUAUGCAACAAUUUUUUCUUCGCCCAUACCAAAAAAAGUAUGAAUGAACUAAUUAUGCACGCAUAUGGGUAUUCAUACUAAACGCCUGUUAAAAAUCUACCCCUUCCAACUUAACACCAGAUUAACAAGUUCAGAAUUCUAAUUUCUAGUAUUAUUCAAUUUUAUAUUAUUUCUGAAUAAGUGAACUGCUAUUGCUGAAGCAAACCAUUUUAAUCAGACCAACUGAACCCUCAAACACAGUUGCAGUAAAUAAUUACUCACAGUACGGUUCUUUGGAACUCUGUUAUGUAUGCAGAUAUACACACGAAUACAUGUGCAAAUAUAUGUAUGAUGUAUAUAUAUAGAUAAAAGUUAUUAGAAAUUGCUGCACCUUGGCCAGUGCCGGUGGGGUCACCUCCCUGUACAAGGAAUGAUUUGACGACGCGGUGGAAGAUGGUGUUGUCAUAGUAACCCUCAAGGCAGAGCUGGACGAAAUUCCCGCCUUAGGCGCCUCAUUUGGCUAAAGCACGAUGUCCAACGGGCCAUACGACGUCGUAACUAUCACCUUCCCCUUCGUCAGAGGCUCCAAUACGUACACCGUCGACAUGUUCUCCGAUUGCUCGGCCAAUAAAUCCAUAAACGUCGGGCAAGUUUGUGGGUUUUGUGAAGAAUAUUUUCGAAAAUUUUCUUAUCGGUCCCAAUAUAUUCC
This 1976-nucleotide long non-coding RNA is filed under the name Olea europaea subsp. europaea. The record is from RNAcentral. Lineage: Eukaryota; Viridiplantae; Streptophyta; Magnoliopsida; Lamiales; Oleaceae.